UAAAAAAACUCCCUUGUCUUUCCAACGUCACUGCUCCUCCCAAUCCCGCCGCCGAUGCCCCUCCGUCCGAGCGCUCUGCUUAAUGGUGCUCGCGCUCUCCACACCCACGUUCGUGCCCUCCAAUCUGGCGCCACCUCCGGCGGCUUGACCGCGCCACCACUUCCUCCUCCCCCACGCCACCCGCCUCCUCGCCCGCCGCGCGCCGCCCUACCCCGCACCGCCGCCUCCGCCCGCUCCAGAUGUCGGCCUCCAACCACUCCGGCGCCGGCGCCAGCUCCCCCUCCACCCCCUCGCCGCCCCGGCCCUCGCGAUGAGUCUGAUGCGUCGUCCUCCUCCUCACGCGUCUGUCCGUAUGAUGUCUUACCGUGUCGGCGUCGAUGGUGUCGGAGCUGAGAUGCUGGGGCCGUACAAUAGUUGCCGUGGAUGGAUGGAACCACCUAGUGCGUUGACUUAGCAACUGGCCGAUGGGAAGGGAUGCCUGCCUUAGCAACUCCAAGCUACGAACCUGUCUCAUGGGAGCGCCUACCGAAAGCUCGCGCGCCAGGCUGCCACUGCCACACCAGCCGCCACCGCCGCAGCCCCGUCCACGUCGUCCUUGUCCUUCCCCGUCCCUGCUGUCGAUGGCGAGGAUGACAACGAGGACGUCGAUGAGUUCAACGGCUUCGACACACUGAGCGAGUACGAUGCCGGCGUGACAGAGAUCGACGAGGAGGACGAAAAGGCCCUCACUGCAUUCAUGUCCAAGGAAACCUCCUCCAAACGAUCGCUUGGUGAUAUCAUCCUCCAGAAGAUCAAAGAGAAGGACGCCACUGUCUCAACAUGCUUUCUCCAUGGUUAAUAUGAAUUAUGCAAGGAUCAGAGGAAGGCGGGGAGCUGGCCUUCUCCAUGUCUCGGGGGAGAGUGUCUUCCUUGGAUUCAACAAGAAGGGGACCCGACCUUCUUCACAUCUCGUGCAACAAGGGUGAUCGACGCAGACUAGCACAGCCCGGUGGUGUCGUGCUCUUCAACCACUCGGAGACGGACUUCGCCAUGAAGCCCGAAGACUACAUCGUGCAGAUGACCAUCCAGAUGAUUGUGAAUUGUGACACCGGAGGUCGCCGAGGUGGAGGACCUCGACGCCACCGUCCGGCGGGAGGGAGGGUUCGGGUCCACCGGUGGUUGAACUCCGAAUCUUGGUAGAUACAUCUAGACAAGUGGUCUGGUUGUUUGCGUCUGAUGUUAAAUGGGAUCUCGUGAACUCUUCGAGUUGAGAUGUUCAAUGUUGCGUCCAUGAACGCUGCAAGUGCUAAGAUGGUUCUGUGAUCUUAG
Triticum aestivum (bread wheat) is the source of this 1308-nucleotide long non-coding RNA. RefSeq lists it as uncharacterized. The record is from RefSeq and is a predicted model, not a curated record. Lineage: Eukaryota; Viridiplantae; Streptophyta; Magnoliopsida; Poales; Poaceae. The transcript has 6 exons.